CGGAGGCGCGCAAAGGUUCUCUCAGUACGGUCGGAAAUCGUACGUAGAGUGUAAAGGCAAAAGAGGGCUUGAUUGCAAGACAUACAGGUCGAGCAAGGAUGAAAAUCGGACUUAGUGAUCCGGUGGUGCUGCGUGGAAGGGCCAUCGCUCAACGGAUAAAAGCUACCCUGGGGAUAACAGGCUUAUCUCCCCCAAGAGUCCACAUCGACGGGGAGGUUUGGCACCUCGAUGUCGGCUCAUCACAUCCUGGGGCUGUAGUAGGUCCCAAGGGUUGGGCUGUUCGCCCAUUAAAGUGG
This 296-nucleotide ribosomal RNA is filed under the name Clostridioides difficile. RNAcentral's name for it is "partial 23S ribosomal RNA". It matches the Rfam family "Bacterial large subunit ribosomal RNA", at positions 2301 to 2596 of the family's 2925-position model. Lineage: Bacteria; Bacillati; Bacillota; Clostridia; Peptostreptococcales; Peptostreptococcaceae. The record is from RNAcentral.